Molecule: non-coding RNA, 167 nt
Filed under: human gut metagenome
Description: Lysine riboswitch
Rfam family: Lysine riboswitch aptamer
About the family: Riboswitches are metabolite binding domains within certain messenger RNAs that serve as precision sensors for their corresponding targets. Allosteric rearrangement of mRNA structure is mediated by ligand binding, and this results in modulation of gene expression.
Source: RNAcentral
AAUAGAGGAGCGUUCGAUAAAGAGUAAGCCGGGGGAGGCGCCGCGCCGAAGAACCUGGCCGAAAGGAAUCAACGCCGAAGAAGCUUGUCCCGCGGCGGGAUCGGCUUCUGGCUGCGGAGUGAAUAACUGUGCGGCUGUCAUCAUACUGUAUGAUGGAGCGCUAUUCG